UACGAAGGGUGCAAGCGUUACUCGGAAUUACUGGGCGUAAAGCGUGCGUAGGUGGUCGUUUAAGUUCGUCGUGAAAGCCCUGGGCUCAACCUGGGAACUGCAGUGGAUACUGGGCGACUAGAAUGUGGUAGAGGGUAGCGGAAUUCCUGGUGUAGCAGUGAAAUGCGUAGAGAUCAGGAGGAACAUCCAUGGCGAAGGCAGCUACCUGGACCAACAUUGACACUGAGGCACGAAAGCGUGGGGAGCAAACAGGAUUAGAUACCCUGGUAGUCCACGCCCUAAACGAUGCGAACUGGAUGUUGGGUGCAAUUUGGCACGCAGUAUCGAAGCUAACGCGUUAAGUUCGCCGCCUGGGGAGUACGGACGCAAGACUGAAACUCA
Molecule: ribosomal RNA, 381 nt
Filed under: uncultured bacterium
Lineage: Bacteria
Description: bacterial SSU rRNA
Rfam family: Bacterial small subunit ribosomal RNA
Source: RNAcentral